Molecule: small RNA, 576 nt
Filed under: Histoplasma ohiense
Lineage: Eukaryota; Fungi; Ascomycota; Eurotiomycetes; Onygenales; Ajellomycetaceae
Description: hypothetical lncRNA
Source: RNAcentral
CUUUUCUCUUUCUUUCUUCAAUCAAUUCGUAAUCUGUAUUUAGGAUAGUCCUUAGUCCGUUAAUCGGUAGUACGCCCGUUACAGCUUACAUUCAAAUCUGAGUGUGUGACAGUUGAAGUGUGGGCUGCUAUAAGCUGGGAUUUCAAAUCAGAGCAUGUUUUUCUUUCAUCUAAAGUCUGGAUGAAUUCCUCACACUAUAUCAGCAUUCUAUCUGAAUUCAGCUAUCCCCAUUAUGAGAGAAUCUUUGAGAAACAUGGAAUUGCAUAUUGAAUGAAUGAUGGUGCGCCUUAUCAUACCUCUAAGGCAGUAAAGGAGUGGGCAAAGAAUGUGUGGAUGAAUCAUGAAGUAUAGCCUGCACAAUCCUCUGAUUUAAAUUCAAUUGAGAAUCUCUGGAUGACUAUGAAGUGCUGUGUAUCAAAGAUAAGACAUAAGAUACACUCUACAGAGCAGAUGAAGAAUGAAUUACAGAAGAUAUGAGAUUCUAUUACACAGAAGAAGAUAUCAUGUAUAAUUAACUCUCUAUAUUCUAUUCUAUAUAAUACUCUACUGUCAGGGCUAUAUUUAAUAUAUUGGUUG